UCUCCGUAGGUGAACCUGCGGAGGGAUCAUUACUGAGUGAGGGCCUUCGGGCUCGACCUCCCACCCUUUGUGAACCCAUCUUGUUGCUUCGGGGGCGACCCUGCCGGCACUCUGUCGCCGGGCGCCCCCGAAGGUCUCCAAACACUGCAUCUUUGCGUCGGAGUUUAAAACACAUUAAACACAACUUUCAACAACGGAUCUCUUGGUUCUGGCAUCGAUGAAGAACGCAGC
Molecule: unclassified non-coding RNA, 231 nt
Filed under: uncultured fungus
Lineage: Eukaryota; Fungi
Description: sequence contains ITS1, 5.8S rRNA gene
Rfam family: 5.8S ribosomal RNA (bases 183-231)
Source: RNAcentral